GAGCGUUACAUGGGGAAUCAGUUCUCGGUUGGUUCCGACAAGGACUGGAUGGAGCAACACCUGCGAGGCUGCUGCUAUGUUGCUGUGUUUGUCGUCUUGCACCUCGACGUGUUUGCCCUCGUGUGCUGUGGUUUGCUCAUUAUAAGUACCAGUGUUUGCUCCCCGAAUGUGUCCAAGAUAAACCCGGCAGUGCGGUGGUCGCGUCUCGCCAGAAUGAAAGGCUAACACUUCAUAUUUGCAGGAUUGAGCUGGCGUAAUUGGUAUGCAGUCGCCCAGGUGUCAAGAGAUUAGUCAAUAUUUUAUUUAUACUGGCGGUGUUUGUGUUUGCAAGAUUAAGCAGGGAGGGAAUAUUGUGCUGAAUGAAAGGAAGGGGAAGGGAGGUAGAGAGAAAGAGAGAGAGAGUUGUGAAUGCAAAGUGAUAUGAGAAGGGAAGAAGAAAUUGACUGGGGGUAAUUGAGAUUGUCCGUGUGAAUGUGCAGUAUAUAAGAACGGUGAUUGGAAUAGACAGGGGCACUUGAAUUGGCGUAUAAGUUUCCUGUAUGUGAAAAGUAAAGAAAAGGAUUGAAAUAGAUCGUGUAUCAAUUUGGAGUUUGAGAAAGUUGAUUGAAAUAAUAGGCCUAUUUUGAGCCAGUUUGUCAAUUUGUAUGAAAAGUUGAAAUUGACACGUGUUCUUGAGGUAGCGUGUCAAUUUUUAGUACGUGAGAAAAGGUCGUUGAAAUUGACAGAUAUUUGAAAUAGUAGGUCAGUUUGGAGUGUGCGAAAAGGGUGAAUGAAACUGACACUAGUACGUGAGCUAGCGUGUCAAUUUGGAACAUUUGAAAAAGUUGUUGAAUUUGAUAGACUAACUUGAGCUAGGGUGUGAAUUUCGAAUAUGUGAAAAAAAAAAAGUUGAUUAGAAUUGACAGUGGUUUGAAUUAGUGCAAUUUUCGAGUAUGAGAAACAGGUGAUUGAAACUGUCAGUAGUAUUUGAGUUAGCGUGUCAGUUUGAAGCAAGUGAAGAAAAGUUGAUUGAAAUUGAUAGACGUACUCGAGUCAGUGUGUACCUGGAACAUAUAAAAAAGAUGACUGAUUGAGAUAAAUGACUGUUUAUUCCAUUUCUCUUUUAUAUAAACUCUACCUAAGGAACUCCAGCAACUCCUCACCUACGCAGAUUUCUCCCGUGAAAAUAAAAGCAAUUCGUUCACACCUAACCAAGCCUACCAUACGUUGAUCCUAACCUAAUUUAUCAUAGGGGCUAAUAUGUUAAGUAAAAUUUUUGUUGUGGAAAGUGUGUAGCUGGGGAAAACUUUACUUUCGAACUUGUGGUAUGCAUCUGAUAAUUGUGUUAAGUAAUUCUGUAUGCAGUGUAGAAUGAAGGCAACGUGGUGUGAUGCAAAUGUUAAAAAGAAAAAAAAUGAGAUAGUUGAACGUUGAUUUUUUUUUUUUUUUUUUUGUAAGAGAAAGUUUGGCCAAGAUCAGCGAAAAGGAAGAAAAAGAAAAAAAAGACCAACUCAGGUGCCAGUCCCUAAAGGAAAGAACCAAAUGGAUUAUGCAAAACUGGAGGAUAAGUGUCUUGAAAGAGUUGAAGUCGUAGGAAGGGGAAAAUACGGAGGCAAGCAGGGAGUUCCAGAGUUUACCAGUAAGUUGAAAGGAUAUAGCAUAGAGGAAGGAGACGAUGUGAUGGGAUGCUGAGGGGAGGAAAAAUGUGAGUCGGUAAGAGAAAAGAGUAGGCGGGAUGGGAUGCUGAGAUUGAAAGUAGUAAGGGAGGUGUGAGUAGAAAAGAACAUAACUUGUUAAGAGAAAGAAAUAGUGAAAGCUUGAGGAAAAAAAAAGAGAACAACAAAAAUAAAUGACAAUUCAUCACGUACAAGAAAAUACAAAUACAUGAAUAAAAAAAGUACAUUGCUGAGAGAAAAUAAAUAAGUGAUUAGACGUAGAGGCACGAAGAGAAAGGAUAUACUGUAGUUGAAAGGAGGCGAUCUACUGA
Scylla paramamosain (green mud crab) is the source of this 1966-nucleotide long non-coding RNA. RefSeq lists it as uncharacterized. The record is from RefSeq and is a predicted model, not a curated record. The transcript has 3 exons. Lineage: Eukaryota; Metazoa; Arthropoda; Malacostraca; Decapoda; Portunidae.